This 391-nucleotide unclassified non-coding RNA is filed under the name soil metagenome. RNAcentral's name for it is "partial contains 5.8S ribosomal RNA, internal transcribed spacer 2, and large subunit ribosomal RNA". The stretch from base 1 to 122 matches the Rfam family "5.8S ribosomal RNA", at positions 35 to 154 of the family's 154-position model. The record is from RNAcentral.
GAUGAAGAACGUAGCGAAAUGCGAUACUUGGUGUGAAUUGCAGAAUCCCGUGAACCAUCGAGUCUUUGAACGCAAGUUGCGCCCGAAGCCAUUAGGCCGAGGGCACGCCUGCCUGGGUGUCACACGUCGUUGCCCCCCCAUCUACUCCUUCGGGAUUGCGGGGGGCGGAUGAUGGCCUCCUGUGCGCCUCGUCGCGCGGUUGGCAUAAAUGCCAAGUCCUCGGCGACGCACGCCACGACAAUCGGUGGUUGCGAAACCUCGGUUGCCCGUCGUGUGCGGUCGUCGCGCAUCGAGGGCUCGAAAAAAUUGCCGGGCUCCGGCUCGGCUUUCAACGCGACACCAGGUCAGGCGGGGUUACCCGCUGAAUUUAAGCAUAUCAAUAAGCGGAGGA